AUACAACUAGGGAAUGAAUGUCUCCCUUGGGAAACCUAAACCGCUUAUCGAGCUGAUGACUUCUGCAACCAC
This is a regulatory RNA element of 72 nucleotides. It matches the Rfam family "Fluoride riboswitch aptamer (crcB RNA motif)". The record is from Rfam.